RNAcentral lists this ribosomal RNA (469 nucleotides) under Salmonella enterica. RNAcentral's name for it is "bacterial SSU rRNA". It matches the Rfam family "Bacterial small subunit ribosomal RNA", at positions 1 to 468 of the family's 1533-position model. RNAcentral also lists the same sequence under 1 other name. The record is from RNAcentral. Lineage: Bacteria; Pseudomonadati; Pseudomonadota; Gammaproteobacteria; Enterobacterales; Enterobacteriaceae.
AAAUUGAAGAGUUUGAUCAUGGCUCAGAUUGAACGCUGGCGGCAGGCCUAACACAUGCAAGUCGAACGGUAGCACAGAGAGCUUGCUCUCGGGUGACGAGUGGCGGACGGGUGAGUAAUGUCUGGGAAACUGCCUGAUGGAGGGGGAUAACUACUGGAAACGGUGGCUAAUACCGCAUAACGUCGCAAGACCAAAGAGGGGGACCUUCGGGCCUCUUGCCAUCAGAUGUGCCCAGAUGGGAUUAGCUGGUUGGUGAGGUAACGGCUCACCAAGGCGACGAUCCCUAGCUGGUCUGAGAGGAUGACCAGCCACACUGGAACUGAGACACGGUCCAGACUCCUACGGGAGGCAGCAGUGGGGAAUAUUGCACAAUGGGCGCAAGCCUGAUGCAGCCAUGCCGCGUGUAUGAAGAAGGCCUUCGGGUUGUAAAGUACUUUCAGCGGGGAGGAAGGUGUUGUGGUUAAUAACC